UGGAAGUAAAAAGUCGUAACAAGGUCUCCGUUGGUGAACCAGCGGAGGGAUCAUUAC
This 57-nucleotide ribosomal RNA is filed under the name Cordyceps gunnii. RNAcentral describes it as "partial 18S ribosomal RNA". It matches the Rfam family "Eukaryotic small subunit ribosomal RNA", at positions 1777 to 1831 of the family's 1831-position model. The record is from RNAcentral. Lineage: Eukaryota; Fungi; Ascomycota; Sordariomycetes; Hypocreales; Cordycipitaceae.